Phyllopteryx taeniolatus (common seadragon) is the source of this 2623-nucleotide long non-coding RNA. RefSeq lists it as uncharacterized. The transcript has 3 exons. The record is from RefSeq and is a predicted model, not a curated record. NCBI's taxonomy places the organism in Eukaryota, Metazoa, Chordata, Actinopteri, Syngnathiformes, Syngnathidae.
CGCACCACAGCUCCAGCCGCUCCACUUCCUGUCGAUAUGCAGACUCGUCACCGUCCUUGAUGAGGCAGAUUACAGUGGUGUCAUCUGCAAACUUCAGGAGUUUGACAGUCGGGUUCGCUGAGGUGCAGUCGUUCGUGUAGAGAGAGAAGAGCAGCGGAGAGAGGACACAACCCUGGGGCGCCCCAGUGCUGAUGCUGCGUGUGGAUGAGAUGGUCUCCCCCAGCCUCACCUGCUGUGUCCUGCCCGUCAGAAAGCUGUAAAUCCACUGGCAGAUGGCAGCACUUGUUCGGCCGCGCACCUGUCACCAAUCAGCCCUUGUUACCACCAGCAUUUAAGCCUGCCUGACCCUGGAAAUCUCGCCAGAGUAUUGAAGUUGUCCUGCGGUACAACGGCUCCCCAGUUUACAAGGAAACUACGUAAUUCCUCAUCAUCUUUCUGACCUCCGUGUUUCUCCUCCAUAGCUUUGGACUUCAUUACCGGCCUGCCCCAUUCUCAAGUUCUCCUCCCUUGUCUGGAAGGAGUUCUGUAAAGCGGUGGGCGCAGCAGCCAGCAUGUCUUCCGGGUACCAUCCCACAGACCAACGGCUAGACGGAGUGGGCGAAUCAGUCCCUGGAAUCAGCCAUUCGCUGCAUUGCCGCUCGCAACCCCACCUCCUGGAGUUCAUUCCUCCCAUGGAUUGAGUACACCCACAACUCCCUCACCAGCUCCGCCACCGGUAUAUCUCCGUUCAUGGCCUGCUACGGUUUCCAACCUCUGUUAUUUAAGGAACAGGAGCAUGCGUUGGCGGUUCCCACGGUGAGGGAUCACCUGAAAAGUGUCCAGUCUGUGUGGAAGGAUGUCUUGGUCCGAUCCGCGGAGAAGAAUUAACGGCUCACGGACCGUCAUCGUUCCCCUACGCCUGAGUCCAAGGUGGGUCAGACAGUUUAGCUUUCCUCCCGUGACCUCCCGUUACAGACGGAAUCCCGCAAACUCACUCCGCGCUUUAUCCCGCAAACUCACUCCGCGCUUUAUCAGUGCAUUCCUCAUCACUAAAAUAAUCAAUCCCACGUCCGUUGAACUUGAACUACCGCAGUCAAAUUCAUCCAACUUUCCACGUCACUGCUCAAGCCUGUCUCCACUUGUGCCCUGAACCCUACGACGGUAGUUUUUGGCGCACUCGAAGCAAAACGCAGCACGACACGCAUGAACGCAAAAUAUUUUUUAUUUUUCACACCCUCAUCAUGGAAAGUUCAAGAAGAAAAGCGUAUGAUGCAGCUUUUAAGUUGAAAGCCAUCGAUCUGUCCGUCCAGGAUGGAAAUCGAGCUGCUGCACGUAAGCUUGGCGUUAACGAAUCGAUGGUGAGGCGUUGGAGACGGCAGCGUGAAGAACUGAUGCAAUGCCAAAAGACAACAAAGGCUUUCAGAGGUCAUAAGAGCAGAUGGCCCAAAUGUUCUUGAGGACUGGGUGAUCACAUAGAGAGCAGACGGCCGAGGUGUAUCCACCGUGCAGAUCCAACUGAAAGCUAAAAAGAGAAAAAUCGCCAGAGAAAUGUGUGCUGAAGGUUUUCAAGGUGGACCGUCAUGGUGUUUUCGAUUCAAGAGACGAAAAGGUUUGUCCAUCAGGGGGCGGACGAAUGUCUGUCAGCAACUCCCUCGCGACUACGAGGAAAAAGUUGCAAACUUCCACAAAUUAAUUGCAACAAAAAUAGCCAAAGAUUCCAUCGGACCAGACGACAUCAUAAAUAUGGAUGAAGUGCCUUUGACGUUCGACCUGCCUCUAACUCGAACUGUUAACAAGACAGGAGCGUUAUCCAUUAUAGUGAAAACAACUGGCUACGAGAGAACACACUUCACGAGUGUUUUGAGCUGCACCGGUGCCGGACAAAAGCUUCCACCAAUGGUGAUUUUCAAGCGGACGACUAUGCCAAAAGAAAAAUUCCCAAAAGGCAUAGUUGUUAAAUUUAAUAAAAAAGGGUGGAUGAUAGAAAGCUUAAUGACUGAAUGGCUGACGGAGUGUUACAGUAGACAUGCGGGAGGAUUUUUUUCACCAGAAAAAAGCAUUGCUUGUUUUGGACAGUAUGAGGGCCCAUAUAACAGAUUCUGUGAAAACAGCCAUUAGGAGAUCAAACUCAAUUCCAGCUGUGAUUUCUGGAGGUACAACAAAGUUUUUGCAGCCACUGAACAUCAGUGUGAAUCAUGCUUUUAAAGCGACACUCUGAGGUGGGUGGGAGGCUUGGCUGACCAGCGGCGAGAAAUCUUUCAUAAAAACUGGCCGCAUGCCAAGAUCAUCCUUUUCUGAGGUCUGCCAGUAGAUCUUAAAAGUGUGGAGCAGUGUGAAAGAAUCUACGAUCACCAACGGAUUUCAAAAGGCUGGACUGCUACAUGAGGAGAACAGCACAACUUCAGCGGUAACUGUCUCGAGAUGAAAAUGACAUUGAGAGCGACAGAGAGACUGAAAAAGGUGUGUGACGAAAACGUUCUGAGGCUCUUCAACUCCGACACUGACGACAACGACUUCAGUGGUUUCAGUGAACAGGAGAAGGAUGAAUAAAAACAAUGACUUUUCUGUUAUGUAUGAGCCGUUUUACUGCCGUGUUCCAGGUACUGUUUGGAAACAAGGUAUGUAAAUAAACAUUUACAAAAUC